UACGUAGGUGGCAAGCGUUAUCCGGAUUUAUUGGGUGUAAAGGGCGUGUAGGCGGGAAUGCAAGUCAGAUGUGAAAACUAUGGGCUCAACUCAUAGCCUGCAUUUGAAACUGUAUUUCUUGAGUGCUGGAGAGGCAAUCGGAAUUCCGUGUGUAGCGGUGAAAUGCGUAGAUAUACGGAGGAACACCAGUGGCGAAGGCGGAUUGCUGGACAGUAACUGACGCUGAGGCGCGAAAGCGUGGGGAGCAAACAGG
This 253-nucleotide ribosomal RNA is filed under the name uncultured bacterium. Its description in RNAcentral is "partial 16S ribosomal RNA". It matches the Rfam family "Bacterial small subunit ribosomal RNA", at positions 524 to 776 of the family's 1533-position model. The record is from RNAcentral.